UUAAAGUGCAUUCAAUGAAGUAACAUGUACCAAUCCACAUAUGUUGACCAAUGACAUUGAAAGUCAAAGUCAAACAAUCAAAAACAGAAGUGAGCUAAAGAUUGGAAAUCAAGAAAUGAACAAAAUACUUUUUGCAUUUUUUAAUAUUUAAAAUAAACUUGAAUUAAAAAUAAAAGAAAAGGUUAAACUUCAAAAUUACUUCAAAUCAACCUUGAAAGGUCCAAG
RNAcentral lists this long non-coding RNA (225 nucleotides) under Lathyrus oleraceus (garden pea). RNAcentral describes it as "Pisum sativum (pea) long non-coding RNA (PSAT_LNC006960)". The record is from RNAcentral. Lineage: Eukaryota; Viridiplantae; Streptophyta; Magnoliopsida; Fabales; Fabaceae.